UGUAGGGACUGCUGCAGCCCAGGCGGGGGCGGGGGAUAAGCCGCUGGGGGCUUGCGGGGAGGGGUCAGUGUUAGGUGGCUGGCCCCUCGUAGGUGCCUGAAGGCAAGCCUAGUGCAGGGAAGUACCCCCUGGGGGGAGGCUGGUGGCCUGGGGAAGGACAAAUGGAAAAUGGAAUUAGGGGCCAGACUCUGAGGCAAGGCGACAGGGAGACAAAGGGGCGAUCUGGUUGUGGGACGAAAUUGGGGCUCGAGCGUGGGAGAGGUGAAGUGACUUGUGGACCACGCGGGAUAGGUGCCGUGUAGUGUGGGUGUGUUGGGGGUACUCGGGGGUCUGGGGAGGUGCAGUGGGAUCAGGAAGAGACUGGGGUGAGCAAGAAGUCGGCAGAAUGGGAAAGGGAAAGAGGGAAAUUUGGGAUCUAGCCGUCCCAGACCAGAGCCACCAUUCUCUUCCAGCUCUGCGCCCCCUCUCUCCAGCCGGAGCGUGCUGCUCCCUCGGCUCAUGGUGCAGCGGAGUUCGCACUAGCCAAUGUUCUGGUAGAUGGAAAGGCUGCCACUGUCCCACCUCUCCCAGGCCUCCCCCAUCUUUGCCGACUUUCCCCUUUUCCACAUUUUGUCCUUCCUAGGUAGUUGAAGUCUAGUUCCUAGGUCAAUGCCAACCAUAGCCGAGGGCACAGGGGAGCAGGUGGCUGUGCAAGCUACUUCCAGGCUGUGGACGCAGGGCUGAGAAAUGGGAAACCUGCCAGUGCCCGUUCCAGCUGUGACCUGGCUGGGGCAGCCUUGGGUCAAGGGCUCUCUGUAGUCCUGGUUUCCACCAACAUCAGGAAGGGGAGCUGCAAGAGUCAUCUAGGCUGGCACCCCAGGACUGUGCCAGCUGAUGUGAGGGUGGACUGGCUCUAAGGAAAAGAUGGUGACAAAGGAAACAGUGAGGGAAUGGACAGCUCAAAACGAGCCUUGCCACUCCUGCUCAGAACAACACCCCUGGCUGUGUCCUGCUGAGGGUUUCUUCCCCGCAGGCUCUGAGGCCAAAGCCUUCCUCCAAGGUUGGAGAGUUGAGCGGCAGAAGUAGCUUGCUGGUGAGGAAGGAAGACCUGGGUUUAAGCCCUGCCUCCGUCAACCUCAAGAUACAGAGCCUCAGGGAAGGGAGGAGCGGCACUGUGAGGACAAGUGCGCCUGAGCCAGUACCUUCACCUUUGAGAGACAAGCUGUACGUGACCCUGUGAACUGAAGAGACUCCAUCUGUCAGGCAGAAAUAGCCACUCACUGCCCACCCCCAACAAUCCUGACUCCCAACACUCAGAUCAAAUCGGAAGAUGCAUCAGCAUCAUCUUCGACAGCAAGCCGAGGGGCUGUCUUGCUCCUCUCUCAGCACCGCCAAGGAAGGGGGCACUUUCUAAGGAGGGGACCUCCUUAUGCUUUUGUCGUUUACAACUCCACCAGACCGCCUCACAACUUCUCUUCCACAGAUCUCUUCCUUCAAGAUGACCCCGUCCUCAACAGAGAGGAAAGAGGCCGGGCAGCCCGCCUCGGAUGCCCGCUUUCUCCCUGACUGCACUCUAGCCUCACCGGAGAGCUUUCAAUAAAUUCUGGAGUCUGGGUCCCAUCCCAGGCCAAGGAAAUCAGAAUCUCAGGGGAUGGGACCCCCGUGACAGGAUUAAGAAUUUUCUCAGGUGAUUCCCAUAAGCAGCCAAAUGUUGAGAACCACUCACUAGCCCAGAGGUGUCUUCCCUCUGGGGGUACCCAAGGAAAACUCCACCCCCACCCACUCCGGUCCCUCCCCUUCCUGAAUUUCUCCCCUACCCACCCUACCUGCCUCGGUCUGUGGAGCCAGUGUGGACAGGUGGUUCCAGCUGUGUCUCAACAUCAACCAGGGAGACAUCUCUUCCCCGGGUGUGUCUGGGGGCAGGUUCUCUCUCUCUCGAUAUUUCCCUUCUUGUUUCCAGCUGCUUUCAGCCUCUUUAAGUUGUCACUUUCUCACCAUUUCUAAUUUACGAAGCUACCCAUUCUGCAACUCGAAAAGCCCCAUGUUUGUCUCAUGCACCACUGCGCCUUUCACUUCCAGCACGUUGCUUAAUAUAUAGUAGGUGCACAAUAAACGUUUGUUGACUGACUGAA
Molecule: non-coding RNA, 2111 nt
Organism: Equus caballus (horse)
Lineage: Eukaryota; Metazoa; Chordata; Mammalia; Perissodactyla; Equidae
Source: RefSeq, a predicted model, not a curated record